UUUCCGUAGGUGAACCUGCGGAAGGAUCAUUACCGAGUGAGGGUCUCUCAGGCCCGACCUCCCACCCUGUGUUUUUGUGACCUUGUUGCUUUGGCGGGCCCGCCUCGAUGAGAGGCCGCCGGAAGCUCACCGCUUUGGGCCUGUGCCCGUCAGUAGCCCCCUUAAAUUCUUAAUAAACCUGUCGUCUGAGUUAAUGGAUAUAAUGAAAGAAAACUUUCAACAACGGAUCUCUUGGUUCUG
Molecule: unclassified non-coding RNA, 240 nt
Filed under: plant metagenome
Description: partial contains small subunit ribosomal RNA, internal transcribed spacer 1, and 5.8S ribosomal RNA
Source: RNAcentral